GAGUUUGAUCAUGGCUCAGAUUGAACGCUGGCGGCAGGCCUAACACAUGCAAGUCGAGCGGAUGAGUGGAGCUUGCUCCAUGAUUCAGCGGCGGACGGGUGAGUAAUGCCUAGGAAUCUGCCUGGUAGUGGGGGACAACGUUUCGAAAGGAACGCUAAUACCGCAUACGUCCUACGGGAGAAAGCAGGGGACCUUCGGGCCUUGCGCUAUCAGAUGAGCCUAGGUCGGAUUAGCUAGUUGGUGGGGUAAAGGCCUACCAAGGCGACGAUCCGUAACUGGUCUGAGAGGAUGAUCAGUCACACUGGAACUGAGACACGGUCCAGACUCCUACGGGAGGCAGCAGUGGGGAAUAUUGGACAAUGGGCGAAAGCCUGAUCCAGCCAUGCCGCGUGUGUGAAGAAGGUCUUCGGAUUGUAAAGCACUUUAAGUUGGGAGGAAGGGCAGUAAGUUAAUACCUUGCUGUUUUGACG
RNAcentral lists this ribosomal RNA (470 nucleotides) under uncultured Gammaproteobacteria bacterium. Its description in RNAcentral is "bacterial SSU rRNA". It matches the Rfam family "Bacterial small subunit ribosomal RNA", at positions 9 to 474 of the family's 1533-position model. The record is from RNAcentral. Lineage: Bacteria; Pseudomonadati; Pseudomonadota; Gammaproteobacteria.